RNAcentral lists this ribosomal RNA (486 nucleotides) under uncultured bacterium. RNAcentral's name for it is "partial 16S ribosomal RNA". It matches the Rfam family "Bacterial small subunit ribosomal RNA", at positions 30 to 507 of the family's 1533-position model. The record is from RNAcentral.
AUUGAACGCUGGCGGCAUGCCUUACACAUGCAAGUCGAACGGCAGCACGGGUGCUUGCACCUGGUGGCGAGUGGCGAACGGGUGAGUAAUACAUCGGAACAUGUCCUGUAGUGGGGGAUAGCCCGGCGAAAGCCGGAUUAAUACCGCAUACGAUCUACGGAUGAAAGCGGGGGACCUUCGGGCCUCGCGCUAUAGGGUUGGCCGAUGGCUGAUUAGCUAGUUGGUGGGGUAAAGGCCUACCAAGGCGACGAUCAGUAGCUGGUCUGAGAGGACGAGCAGCCACACUGGGACUGAGACACGGCCCAGACUCCUACGGGAGGCAGCAGUGGGGAAUUUUGGACAAUGGGCGGAAGCCUGAUCCAGCAAUGCCGGGUGUGUGAAGAAGGCCUUCGGGUUGUAAAGCACUUUUGUCCGGAAAGAAAUCCUUGGCCCUAAUACGGUCGGGGGAUGACGGUACCGGAAGAAUAAGCACCGGCUAACUACGUG